This 264-nucleotide ribosomal RNA is filed under the name uncultured bacterium. RNAcentral describes it as "partial 16S ribosomal RNA". It matches the Rfam family "Bacterial small subunit ribosomal RNA", at positions 333 to 614 of the family's 1533-position model. The record is from RNAcentral.
AGAACCCUACGGGACGCAGCAGUAAGGGAUAUUGGUCAAUGGGGGAAACCCUGAACCAGCAACGCCGCGUGAGGGAAGACGGUUUUCGGAUUGUAAACCUCUGUCCUCUGUGAAGAUGAUGACGGUAGCAGAGGAGGAAGCUCCGGCUAACUACGUGCCAGCAGCCGCGGUAGUACGUAGGGAGCGAGCGUUGUCCGGAUUUACUGGGUGUAAAGGGUGCGUAGGCGGCGGUGCAAGUCAGGAGUGAAAUCCAUGGGCUUAACC